CUGUGCUGAGUUUUUCGAAGGUCAGAGCAGAUUGAACCUUUGUGCUUUCAUUUUUCCUGAUUUUGAUUUUUCUUAUGGGGAUCCACUUUUCCUGCAUUCGAGGUGACUUGAAGAAGCCUUCCAAAAAGCGUGUGAAAAGGGAGCCCUACUCUACUACCAUGAAAUUUUGAGAAGAUACAGCCUGUACACCAACCAGCAUUGGAGGCAUCAUGGCUUCUGGAGAAAGAAGAUACAGCCACAAGAAGCCUCUGAGGAGCCUCCAGCUCACAAGGACAGAGGAGGUGGAGAGAGGCCAGUCAACGCGAGGGUGGUGCGGGUGGCCCCUCUGAGGCCUGGUUUUGCUCUUUGUGGGUACGCUGUACAAGACAUCUCUAAAGAAGACACUGUAUAUGACAUCUGUAAUGAGGAUGCUGUAGACAUCUCUGAUGAGGACACUGUAGAUAUCUCUAAUGAGGCUUCUGUACAUGACAUCUCUAAUGAGGCUGCUGUAUGUGACAUCUCUAACGAUGCCGUAAACAUCUCUAAUGAGGCUGCUGUACGUGACAUCUCUAAUGACGCUGUAGACAUCUGUAAUGAGGCUGCUGUACAUGACAUCUCUAAUGAGGACACUAUAGAAGACAUUUCUUAUGAGGACACUGUAUACGACAUCACUAAUGAGGAUGCUGUACGAUACCUCUGUAAAAAAGAUGCUACCAAGGAGCCAUUGACACUGGAGAAUGAUUUGAUUGUGGAGAGCAUGUCUGAUGACGAGGAUUUUGCAGCUUAAAGGGAGCUCCCGGGGUGAGUGAUGGAGGCGGGAUCGGACCCUGGCAGUUUGACGGCAACACCUGUGUUCCUCUGCACUGGGCCGUGGAUGACAUUACACACCUUGGUGAGAAUCAGGAAUUGAGGCUAAUCACAUCUGAAAUUGAGGGCUUAUGAUUUCUUCUCGGGUUUGAAACAUGCCCCCAGAUGAGCAAGACGGGGCUGCCACAUUGACGGAGCAGCUGCGGGACACACCCAAGAAACCUCCUGGAGAACACAGGGGACAUUCACGGCUGGAGGCUUCAUCUAUGGCCGGGGGCUUCAUCCAUGAGCUGGGGACUUCAUCCAUGGGCUGGGGACUUCAUCCAUGACUGGGGACCUCAUCCACGUCUGGAGACUUCAUCCGCGACUGGGGGCUUCAUCCAUGGGCUGGGGGAUUCAUCCACGGGCUGGGGGCUUCAUCCAUCACUGGGGGCUUCAUCCACGGGCUGGGGGCUUCAUCCAUGACUGGGGGCUUCAUCCACGGGCUGGGGGCUUCAUCCAUGGGCUGGGGGCUUCAUCCAUGACUGGGGGCUUCAUCCACGGGCUGGGGGCUUCAUCCAUGACUGGGGACUUCAUCCACGACUGGAGACUUCAUCCAUAGGCUGGGGGCUUCAUCUACAGCUGGAGACUUCAUCCACAGCAGGGGCUUCAUCCUUGGUUGGUUUGCCUGAUCUGUAUCUGAGCCACAGAUACAGAUUAUUAAACAGAUAAUAAUUUUA
This 1505-nucleotide long non-coding RNA is filed under the name Homo sapiens (human). RNAcentral describes it as "family with sequence similarity 230 member I, transcript variant 2 (FAM230I)". The record is from RNAcentral. Lineage: Eukaryota; Metazoa; Chordata; Mammalia; Primates; Hominidae.